RNAcentral lists this long non-coding RNA (889 nucleotides) under Mytilus galloprovincialis (Mediterranean mussel). The record is from RNAcentral. Lineage: Eukaryota; Metazoa; Mollusca; Bivalvia; Mytilida; Mytilidae.
GGACCCGAUUUGGACCAACUUGAAAACUGGGCCAAUAAUCAAAAAUCUAAGUACAUUUUUAGAUUCAACAUAUUAAAGAACCCCAAGGAUUCAAUUUUUGUUAAAAUCAAACUAAGUUUAAUUUUGGACCCUUUGGACCUUAAUGUAGACCAAUUUGAAAACGGGACCAAAAAUUAAGAAUCUACAUACACAGUUAGAUUUAGCAUAUCAAAGAACCCCAAUUAUUCAAUUUUUGAUGAAAUCAAACAAAGUUCAAUUUUGGACCCUUUGGGCCACUUAUUCCUAAACUGUUGGGACCAAAACUCCCAAAAUCAAACCCAACCUUCCUUUAUGGUCAUAAACCUUGUGUUUAAAUUUCAUAGAUUUCUAUUUACUUAUACUUAAGUUAUGGUGCGAAAACCAAGAAUAAUGCUUAUUUGGGCCCCUUUUUUGGCCCCUAAUUCCUAAACUGUUGGGACCUCAACUCCCAAAAUCAAUCCCAACCUUCCUUUUGUGGUCAUAAACCUUGUGUUUAAAGUUCACUGAUUUCUAUUUACUUAUAAAGUUAUUGUGCGAAAACCAAGAAUAAUGCUUAUUUGGGCCCUUUUUUGGCCCCUAAUUCCUAAACUGUUGGAACCAAAACUCCCAAAAUCAAUCCCAACCUUCCUUUUGUGGUCAUAAACCUUGUGUCAAAAUUUCAUAGAUUUCUAUUCACUUAAACUAAAGUUAUAGUGCGAAAACCAAGAAAAUGCUUUUUUGGGCCCUUUUUGGCCCCUAAUUCCUAAAAUGUUGGGACCAAAACUCCCAAAAUCAAUCCCAACCUUCCUUUUGUGGUCAUAAACCUUGUGUCAAAAUUUCAUCGAUUUCUAUUCACUUUUACUAAAGUUAGAGUGCGAAAACUAAAAGUUUU